This 421-nucleotide ribosomal RNA is filed under the name uncultured archaeon. RNAcentral's name for it is "partial 16S ribosomal RNA". It matches the Rfam family "Archaeal small subunit ribosomal RNA", at positions 323 to 746 of the family's 1478-position model. The record is from RNAcentral.
CUACAGGCGGCUGCAGUUAGGAAUAAUCUACAAUGCGCGAAAGCGUGAUAGUUUGAGCCAGAGUGUUUUUCAAUUGAAAGACUUUUGUGAAAUGUAAAAAGUUUCACGAAUAAGGACUGGGUAAGACUAGUGCCAGCCGCCGCGGUAAUACUAGCGGUCCAAGUCGCAACCAUUUUUAUUGGGUCUAAAACAUCCGUAGCUUGCUUGACAAGUCUUCUGUGAAAUUUUACGUCUAAAACGUAGAGCGCGCAGAAGGUACUAUCAAGCUAGAGACCGGAAGACGUAAGAAGUACAUUCAGAGUAGCGGUUAAAUGUGUUAAUCCUGGAUGGACUAACAAGAGCGAAGGCAUCUUACGAGGACGGUUCUGACAGUAAGGGAUGAAAGCUAGGGGCGCAAAUGGGAUUAGAUACCCCCGUAGUC